This is a long non-coding RNA of Triticum dicoccoides, 436 nucleotides long. RefSeq lists it as uncharacterized. The record is from RefSeq and is a predicted model, not a curated record. NCBI's taxonomy places the organism in Eukaryota, Viridiplantae, Streptophyta, Magnoliopsida, Poales, Poaceae. The transcript is spliced from 5 exons.
AAACCUAGGAGGAGGUUUAUCACCAGCAGCUCAUGAAGUACCUUGAUUGCCCGUCUCUCAAUCAUUUCUCAAUCAUUGAUGUUGGCUCUCACUCCGGUGCCUCAUGACAUAGCUGAGAUUUGCCAUGCAAGAUGACUCGUCGAAGAGGAUGUCUUCAUGUCAUGCCAGUUCAGCUCCUUGUUUGCGCGAUGAAUCCACCGCUGGAGCCCCUCUCUUCCAGAUAGCACAUGUGCCAGGAUCCUGGAGUUGACAAAACAAAGCCUAAGAGGAACUUGUUUGACAACGCCAACAACCUUCUCACCAAUUUUCUUUCUAGCGGCAACCUCAAGAAUAUGCCGGUUGCCGAAGGAAACGAAGUAAUCGGGAGUGGUGGUAGCAAGCAGGAGAAGAAACCAUCACAGAUUUUCUCUGGUUCUGUAGUUCACUUUAUGAAUUU